AUAUUUCGGAACUGAGUCUAUUUCCUUCGAUAUCAAUGCAAUCUAAUAAUCACGAUUUUUAGAUUGCAUUGAUAUCGAAGGAACUAGACUCAGUUCCGAAAUAU
Non-coding RNA from Paramuricea clavata, 104 nucleotides. Lineage: Eukaryota; Metazoa; Cnidaria; Anthozoa; Malacalcyonacea; Plexauridae. The record is from the annotation of a GenBank genome assembly.